CAGCAGCCGCGGGAAUACGUAGGUGGCAAGCGUUGUCCGGAGUUAUUGGGCGUAAAGGGCUCGCAGGCGGUUUCUUAAGUCUGAUGUGAAAGCCCCCGGCUCAACCGGGGAGGGUCAUUGGAAACUGGGAAACUUGAGUGCAGAAGAGGAGAGUGGAAUUCCACGUGUAGCGGUGAAAUGCGUAGAGAUGUGGAGGAACACCAGUGGCGAAGGCGACUCUCUGGUCUGUAACUGACGCUGAGGCUCGAAAGCGUGGGGAGCAAACAGGAUUAGAUACCCCAGUAGUCCCUGUCUCUUAUAC
RNAcentral lists this ribosomal RNA (301 nucleotides) under uncultured bacterium. RNAcentral describes it as "partial 16S ribosomal RNA". It matches the Rfam family "Bacterial small subunit ribosomal RNA", at positions 509 to 807 of the family's 1533-position model. The record is from RNAcentral.